Transfer RNA from Cavia porcellus (domestic guinea pig), 64 nucleotides. It matches the Rfam family "tRNA". From Rfam's summary of the family: Transfer RNA (tRNA) molecules are approximately 80 nucleotides in length. Their secondary structure includes four short double-helical elements and three loops (D, anti-codon, and T loops). Further hydrogen bonds mediate the characteristic L-shaped molecular structure. tRNAs have two regions of fundamental functional importance: the anti-codon, which is responsible for specific mRNA codon recognition, and the 3' end, to which the tRNAs corresponding amino acid is attached (by aminoacyl-tRNA synthetases). tRNAs cope with the degeneracy of the genetic code in two manners: having more than one tRNA (with a specific anti-codon) for a particular amino acid; and 'wobble' base-pairing, i.e. permitting non-standard base-pairing at the 3rd anti-codon position. Lineage: Eukaryota; Metazoa; Chordata; Mammalia; Rodentia; Caviidae. The record is from Rfam.
GGGGAUUUAGCUCAGCGGCAUAAGCGCCUGCCUUGCAAGCAGGCAGUUGUAAGUUCGAUCCCCG